This 4405-nucleotide long non-coding RNA is filed under the name Lathyrus oleraceus (garden pea). RNAcentral's name for it is "Pisum sativum (pea) long non-coding RNA (PSAT_LNC009204)". The record is from RNAcentral. Lineage: Eukaryota; Viridiplantae; Streptophyta; Magnoliopsida; Fabales; Fabaceae.
GUUGUAAUUUAUUAAAUACAAGUGUGUUCCAAAAUGAUAAAUGGUGGAAGUGAGUUAAUGCUAAUAAAUGCAUGAGAUAACUCUUCAUGAAUUUUGAAUUUUGAAUUUUGAACUUUGAAUUUUGAAUUCGGAGAUUGUAACUCUUCAUGAGAUGUUGCAAAGGCGAAACCAUGCAACUGUUGGUGAAACAUGCUGCAGGUCAACCAUUAUGAUUAUUGGAAAAGGACAUUGCUUUACCAAGGGUCGCUAUCUUAUGAAACAAUAUCAACAUGGCCUAUAAAAGCAUAAAUCCGGAUUCAGAAUACAACACACAAAAUCCGAAAAUUCUCUAUAUAAUUCCAAAUGCUCUUCGUUGCAUUCGGGUUUUCGCCGGUCUUGCACAAACUCGAUAAGGCUGAAUUAUCCUGGGUAUUCCUGCAUCAGAACUCUAAGACAAUCGAGAGUGCUUGAAAUACUAUAAGGAAAGUGUUGCAUUCACGAUUCAAGCCUGGAUUCCUUUAAUCUUUUCAAAAUUUCUAACAAUCUUAUAGUACUUUCAAAUAAUGGUUAUCAAGGCUACAGUUUCAAGCAUAAAAAAGAAAGACUCAAGAAAGAACACAAGAAGAAUCGGUACUACGAAAUCUGAUAUGAUUUUAUUAUUCUUCAUAUUAAUUAGAGCACCGUGAAAAUCAUGAUAUCAAGAUCUAAAUAUAAAAGUUUUCUAUCAAUUAGGAUCAGAGUCAGAUUAUUGAUAUUGUGACUUUUUGAUAAUAACUAAUUGAUAUGAUUUUGAAUUAGAUUUCUUUAAUAACUAUAAUAUUACUUAAUUUAAUGGUUUUCAUGAUUUUUUAUAGAAAAGCAAUAUCUGUAUCAUGAUUUUCCAUUUAUUGGACAAAUUAUUACAUAUUGAUGGUUGAAUGAUAUGCAUCUGACAAUACAUGAAUAAAUCAUGAUUACGCAAUUAUAUUAUACUUGAUUAUGUAACCUAUUUUCCAUAUGAAUAGAAAUUGAAGGUUUGAAUGAUAUGCAUCUGACAAUACAUGAAUAAAUCAUGAUUACGCAAUUAUAUUAUACUUGAUUAUGUAACCUAUUUUCCAUAUGAAUAGAAAUUGAAGGGUCUUGGACAUAAUAGGAAGAAAUAUAUACAUUUCCACAUUGGUAUUGUACAUAAUAGAAAAGUUUUCAUUCCAGUAUGGGAUAUGAAAUUCAUGAUAUGUAAAUUUGUUCCAUGAUAGAAGUGCAUGACAAUAUGUUGUUUUACUUUAAGAAAUAGAGAAACAUGUUAUGCCCUUUGAAGGAAACAAAUUUAUAUAUACAGUUUUAAAAGGUUUUACAAUAUAAACAUAUAACGGGUUCUAUGUUGUCUUCUUCCGGCAUAUCAAUUGCCAUACGGUGCCUUAUUUUGGUGACAUAUAAAUACUACUUAUUAUAUGUAUAUUAUAUGUAUGUUGCAUAACAAUUCAAGUUGGUAUGAGAUUAUUUUUUAAAAAUACGGGAUGUUCCUUUGUUUAUUUUUAAAAUUAAUUUGUAUAAAGGAUAAUUUGUGAUUCAAUAAGGUAUGUAAAGAUUAUUCAAAGAUGAAUCAUGACUUAUAUAAACUUUUGAAUUUGGAAGAGUCCUAAUGUGACUAUUGAUUCUAAUAUAUGAAAUUUUUGAGAACUUAUCACAAGAAUAAGGAAUUUGAAUAUUCCUACAAGAAGACCCUUGUGAAGGAGGGUUCUUCCACAUAUUGUGAAACACAAACCAAAAUUUUCUUCAUGGAUUGCUGAAACAUAAUCCUAAAUUAGAAUAAGAAAGAGAGUCUGAAAGGCUAAGGAUCUAGGAUCAAACAAAAUUGAUAAUCAAUUUAUUUCUUUUAUCUAAUGGAAGGAAAUAGUAAGAAUUUUGUUCAUAGGAUUCUUAUUAUUCUUCAAGUGGAAGAUGAUCCUAUGACUUAAAAGGAAGGAAUCAACAACUUCAAGGGACUCAUCUUAUUUAGAAGGAAGUAUCAUAUUGUGAUGGUACACUAAAAACCUACAAGUCUAGAUUAAUGACCAAUGGUAUUUUAAAUAAAAAAAUGUGUUUAUCAUUUGAUACAUAUGCACUAAUAGCAAGCACAACAAAAUUAGAGCAUUGUUUGCAUUAGCUUCUUUGCAUGACUUUAUAGUUCAUGAAAUGGAUGUCAAAAUGAAAUUUUAAUAUGGAGAUCUCGAUGACGAGAUUUACAUGAAUCAACCAUAAGGUUAUGAAUAAAAGGUAUGAAAGCUUGUCAAAUCCUUGUAUGAAUUCAAACAAGCACCGAAACAAUGAUAUCAAAAGUUUGACAAUGUCAUAGUAAGAUUCACCAAUUAAUUAGGGGAGACACACAACUUAAGAGGAGACAAUAUUUUGUCAUCAUCAAAAGGGGGGAGAUUGUGAGGAAUAAAUCUUAUAUCUAGUUCAAUUUUGAUGAAGACAAAGAUUAUCAAAGGAGAAAAGGUUCAAAAGGUUCAUGCACAUCAAUGAUGAAGUUAAUUCAGAAAGUUGAACAUAGAAAUUCAAGUGAAGAUUUGAGACAAGUGAACAUAACUAAGGUACUCGUUGAAAUUUAUAUUAUACUAAUUUAAAUUGCUCAUAAUUUCAUUUCUCACUUCAUCUAAAAACCUUCUUACAUCAUCAUGCAUGAUUAUCUAAAAACAUUAUUCAUCUAAUUCUUGUUACAAGUGUUUGUACACAAAGUUGUGUGAGAAUAUUGUGAUAUUCACUUGUAUUCAUGUUGAUUAUAUGAUUGAUCAUUAGCAACAAGAUGAAUGGAAUUUUAGAAACAAAGAGGUUUCAAACUUUCAUAUUCAAGAUGAAUGAUCUUGGACUAGUUGACACAUUUUUGGGGAUUAAAGUAAAGUGAAAUAGUGGGGGUUGUGAACUUAGUCAAACACAUUAUAUUGAGAAAAUGUUGGAAAAGUUCAAACACCUAAACUUUAAGGAAGUAAACACUCCAUUCGAUCCUAGUGUCAAACUUCAAAGGAACAAUGGGAGAACCGUGGCACAACUGGAAUAUGCAAGUGCAAUUGGAUGUCUAAUGUACUUAAUGCAAUGCACCAGACCUGACAUAGCUUUUGCAGUUAGUAAGAUGAGUACAUUUACUAGCAAUCCAAAUGAUGAACAUUGGAAGGCCAUAACUAGGAUUUUCGGAUAUUUGUUAAAGACCAAAAAUCUUGGCCUUCAUUAUGGUAAGUUUCCUUCCAUACUAGAAGGAUAUACCGACGCAAGUUGGAUAUCAAGUGUUGGAGAUUAUAAAUCUACAACUGGGUGGAUAUUCACAUUAGGUGGAGGUGCGAUUUCUUGGAAAAGUAAGAAACAAACAUGCAUUACUCUCUCAACCAUGGAAUUAGAGUUUGUGGCUCUUGCGUCUGCUGGACAAGAAGCAGAAUGGUUGAGGGACCUCUUAUUGGAGGUUCCGUUAGCUAAAGACAAUGUUUCAAAAGUAUUAAUACAUUGUGAUAGUCAAGCCACCCUGGCUAGAGCGUUCAGUGAAAUGUACAAUGGAAAGUCUAGACACAUAGGUCUUAGACACUCUCUCGUGAGAAAAAUGAUAAAGGAUGGGAUCAUUUCACUAACAUAUAUACAAACAAGCUAUAAUUUGGCUGAUCCAUUUACUAAACCACUGGCCAGAGAUUUAGUAAAGACUACCUCGAAAGGUAUGGGAUUAAAACUCCUUGAAUAAGGGUUCUGACAAUGAUAGCAACCCAAUCUGAAGUUAACACAUCUUAACCUAAGAUUCAAUGGGUAACAACAAGUCGUUGAUUCAGAAGGUUAUGCAACAUUCUACGAUAAUGUUGAUGAUUACAAACUGAGGGUUGAGUUUUCAAAGAAACUCUUAAUGAAGUUCUAUAUCAAGGAGGAUACGUAUCUCAAGAAAUAGAUAUGAAUUGAACUUCACCUAUAUGAAUUUCAAGAUGGUGUCGUCUUAAGGUGAGAGUUGGAGUUUCUCUCAUGAAAAAUUCAUGAAAACACGAAAAGCACAUGGCCAUAAAUAGUGCUAGGCGAGAUAUGUAGGCGAAGAACCUCUAAAAGUGUGUGUAUAGCAACGCCGGUCUGAUCACAUGGGAUAAUGGUUCAAAGCAUAGCUACCUAACUUUCCGAUUAGGCUUUGCGUUGUCUUUACUAAGGUUAAGUUCAAAUCGAAAGAUACCUAACUGUAUUAACACUUUUUGCUUUCUAUAUUCUGGAAUUGGAUUUGUCAUUAUUAGAACAAGUGGGGGAUUGUUGUAAUUUAUUAAAUACAAAUGUGUUCCAAAAUGACAAAUGGUGGAAGUGAGUUAAUGCUAAUAAAUGCAUGAGAUAACUCUUCAUGAAUUUUGAAUUCGGAGAUUGUAACUCUUCAUGAGAUGUUGCAAAGGCGAAACCAUGCAACUGUUGGUGAAACAUGCUGCAGGUCAACCAUUAUGAUUAUUGGAAAAGGACAUUG